RNAcentral lists this ribosomal RNA (498 nucleotides) under uncultured bacterium. RNAcentral describes it as "partial 16S ribosomal RNA". It matches the Rfam family "Bacterial small subunit ribosomal RNA", at positions 30 to 523 of the family's 1533-position model. The record is from RNAcentral.
AUUGAACGCUGGCGGCAUGCUUUACACAUGCAAGUCGAACGGCAGCGCGGGGCAACCUGGCGGCGAGUGGCGAACGGGUGAGUAAUAUAUCGGAACGUACCCAGAAGUGGGGGAUAACGUAGCGAAAGUUACGCUAAUACCGCAUACGAUCUACGGAUGAAAGUGGGGGACCUUCGGGCCUCAUGCUUGUGGAGCGGCCGAUAUCUGAUUAGCUAGUUGGUGGGGUAAAGGCCCACCAAGGCGACGAUCAGUAGCUGGUCUGAGAGGACGACCAGCCACACUGGGACUGAGACACGGCCCAGACUCCUACGGGAGGCAGCAGUGGGGAAUUUUGGACAAUGGGCGCGAGCCUGAUCCAGCAAUGCCGCGUGAGUGAAGAAGGCCUUCGGGUUGUAAAGCUCUUUUGUCAGGGAAGAAACGGGACUGGAUAAUACCUGGUCCUAAUGACGGUACCUGAAGAAUAAGCACCGGCUAACUAUGUGCCAGCCGCCGCCGUAA